ACGCUCGACACCUACGGGAGGCAGCAGUCGGGAAUAUUGCGCAAUGGAGGAAACUCUGACGCAGUGACGCCGCGUGCAGGAAGAAGGUUUUCGGAUUGUAAACUGCUUUAGACAGGGAAGAACAAAUGACAGUACCUGUAGAAUAAGCUCCGGCUAACUACGUACCAGCAGCCGCGGUAAUCUGAGCGGGCUGGCAAGGC
This 200-nucleotide ribosomal RNA is filed under the name uncultured bacterium. Its description in RNAcentral is "partial 16S ribosomal RNA". It matches the Rfam family "Bacterial small subunit ribosomal RNA", at positions 328 to 539 of the family's 1533-position model. The record is from RNAcentral.